Molecule: long non-coding RNA, 202 nt
Filed under: Capsicum annuum
Lineage: Eukaryota; Viridiplantae; Streptophyta; Magnoliopsida; Solanales; Solanaceae
Description: long non-coding RNA (CANN_LNC005130)
Source: RNAcentral
UGAAACCAACAUCAGACUUCACAUCCUCAAAACAUGAGGACUCACCACGAUAGAGGUGUAGAACAGCGUGCCCGAAGAAUCACUGUCGAACUUGAAACUGAGCACCUGAACCUACAUUUCGAGAAAAUACAGCCCACAUCCGAAGAUGUAGUUCAGUACCAUGGAAAGGAACCGAGUAUAUGGGGGUGUAUGCAGUUGUAUA